CCUGGAGUAGCUCAAUCAGCAGAGCACCCGACCGAUAAUCGGGAGGUUGCGGGUGCGAGACCCGCCUCCAGGACCA
RNAcentral lists this transfer RNA (76 nucleotides) under Verrucomicrobiales bacterium. RNAcentral's name for it is "tRNA-Ile". It matches the Rfam family "tRNA". From Rfam's summary of the family: Transfer RNA (tRNA) molecules are approximately 80 nucleotides in length. Lineage: Bacteria; Pseudomonadati; Verrucomicrobiota; Verrucomicrobiia; Verrucomicrobiales. The record is from RNAcentral.